GACGAACGCUGGCGGCGUGCUUAACACAUGCAAGUCGAACGAAGAGCGAUGGAAGCUUGCUUCUAUCAACCUUAGUGGCGAACGGGUGAGUAACGCGUAAUCAACCUGCCCUUCAGAGGGAGACAACAGUUGGAAACGACUGCUAAUACCGCAUACGAUCUAACCUCGGCAUCGAGGAUGGAUGAAAGGUGGCCUCUAUUUAUAAGCUAUCACUGAAGGAGGGGAUUGCGUCUGAUUAGCUAGUUGGAGGGGUAACGGCCCACCAAGGCGAUGAUCAGUAGCCGGUCUGAGAGGAUGAACGGCCACAUUGGGACUGAGACACGGCCCAGACUCCUACGGGAGGCAGCAGUGGGGAAUCUUCCGCAAUGGACGAAAGUCUGACGGAGCAACGCCGCGUGAGUGAUGACGGCCUUCGGGUUGUAAAGCUCUGUUAAUCGGGACGAAAGGCCUUCUUGCGAAUAGUUAGAAGGAUUGACGGUACCGGAAUAGAAAGCCACGGCUAACUACGUG
RNAcentral lists this ribosomal RNA (510 nucleotides) under uncultured bacterium. RNAcentral's name for it is "partial 16S ribosomal RNA". It matches the Rfam family "Bacterial small subunit ribosomal RNA", at positions 28 to 507 of the family's 1533-position model. The record is from RNAcentral.